AGAGGGUGCAAGCGUUAAUCGGAAUUACUGGGCGUAAAGCGCACGUAGGUGGUUGCUUAAGUCAGAUGUGAAAGCCCUGGGCUCAACCUGGGAAUUGCAUUUGAUACUGGGCAACUUGAGUAUGGUAGAGGGAAGUGGAAUUUCCGGUGUAGCGGUGAAAUGCGUAGAUAUCGGAAGGAACAUCAGUGGCGAAGGCGGCUUCCUGGACUAAUACUGACACUGAGGUGCGAAAGCGUGGGUAGCAAACAGGAUUAGAUACCCUGGUAGUCCACGCCGUAAACGAUGAGAACUAGCUGUUGGGGGCCUUCGGGUCUUAGUAGCGUAGCUAACGCGUUAAGUUCUCCGCCUGGGGAGUACGGCCGCAAGGUUA
This 370-nucleotide ribosomal RNA is filed under the name uncultured organism. RNAcentral's name for it is "partial 16S ribosomal RNA". It matches the Rfam family "Bacterial small subunit ribosomal RNA", at positions 527 to 896 of the family's 1533-position model. The record is from RNAcentral.